RNAcentral lists this ribosomal RNA (460 nucleotides) under uncultured bacterium. RNAcentral describes it as "partial 16S ribosomal RNA". It matches the Rfam family "Bacterial small subunit ribosomal RNA", at positions 338 to 795 of the family's 1533-position model. The record is from RNAcentral.
CCUACGGGUGGCAGCAGUGAGGAAUAUUGGUCAAUGGACGAGAGUCUGAACCAGCCAAGUAGCGUGAAGGAUGACUGCCCUAUGGGUUGUAAACUUCUUUUAUAUGGGAAUAAAAUGUUCCACGUGUGGGAUUUUGUAUGUACCAUAUGAAUAAGGAUCGGCUAACUCCGUGCCAGCAGCCGCGGUAAUACGGAGGAUCCGAGCGUUAUCCGGAUUUAUUGGGUUUAAAGGGAGCGUAGGUGGAUUGUUAAGUCAGUUGUGAAAGUUUGCGGCUCAACCGUAAAAUUGCAGUUGAAACUGGCAGUCUUGAGUACAGUAGAGGUGGGCGGAAUGCGUGGUGUAGCGGUGAAAUACUUAGAUAUCACGAAGAACUCCGAUUGCGAAGGCAGUUCACUGGACUGCAACUGACACUGAGGCUCGAAAGUGUGGGUAUCAAACAGGAUUAGAUACCCCAGUAGUC